AUUGAACGCUGGCGGCAGGCUUAACACAUGCAAGUCGAGCGGGGUGAUGGUGCUUGCACUAUCACUUAGCGGCGGACGGGUGAGUAAUGCUUAGGAAUCUGCCUAUUAGUGGGGGACAACAUCUCGGAAGGGACGCUAAUACCGCAUACGUCCUACGGGAGAAAGCAGGGGAUCACUUGUGACCUUGCGCUAAUAGAUGAGCCUAAGUCGGAUUAGCUAGUUGGUGGGGUAAAGGCCUACCAAGGCGACGGUCUGUAGCGGGUCUGAGAGGAUGAUCCGCCACACGGGGACUGAGACACGGCCCAGACUCCUACGGGAGGCAGCAGUGGGGAAUAUUGGACAAUGGGGGGAACCCUGAUCCAGCCAUGCCGCGUGUGUGAAGAAGGCCUUAUGGUUGUAAAGCACUUUAAGCGAGGAGGAGGCUCUUUUGGUUAAUACCCAAGAUGAGUGGACGUUACUCGCAGAAUAAGCACCGGCUAACUCUGUGCCAGCCGCCGCCGUAA
Molecule: ribosomal RNA, 503 nt
Filed under: uncultured bacterium
Lineage: Bacteria
Description: partial 16S ribosomal RNA
Rfam family: Bacterial small subunit ribosomal RNA
Source: RNAcentral